Molecule: ribosomal RNA, 433 nt
Filed under: uncultured bacterium
Lineage: Bacteria
Description: bacterial SSU rRNA
Rfam family: Bacterial small subunit ribosomal RNA
Source: RNAcentral
ACUCCUACGGGAGGCAGCAGUGGGAAUAUUGCACGAAUGGGCGCAAGCCUGAUGCAGCCAUGCCGCGUGUGUGAAGAAGGGCCUUCGGGUUGAUAAAGCACUUUCAGUGCGUGAGGAAUGGUAGUAGUAGUUAAUAGCUGCAUUAUUUGACGUUAGCGACAGAAGAAGCACCGGCUAACUCCGUGCCAGCAGCCGCGGUAAUACGGAGGGUGCGAGCGUUAAUCGGAAUUACUGGGCGUAAAGCGCAUGCAGGUGGUUUGUUAAGUCAGAUGUGAAAGCCCGGGGCUCAACCUCGGAAUUGCAUUUGAAACUGGCAGACUAGAGUACUGUAGAGGGGGGUAGAAUUUCAGGUGUAGCGGUGAAAUGCGUAGAGAUCUGAAGGAAUACCGGUGGCGAAGGCGGCCCCCUGGCACAGAUACUGACACUCCAGAUG